ACUCCUACGGGAGGCAGCAGUGGGGAAUAUUGCACAAUGGGCGCAAGCCUGAUGCAGCCAUGCCGCGUGUAUGAAGAAGGGCCUUCGGGUUGAUGAAAGUACUUUCAGUCAGUGAGGAAGGUGGAGUCGUUAAGUAGCGGCCUCAUUUGACGUUAGCUGCAGAAGAAGCACCGGCUAACUCCGUGCCAGCAGCCGCGGUAAUACGGAGGGUGCGAGCGUUAAUCGGAAUUACUGGGCGUAAAGCGCAUGCAGGUGGUUUGUUAAGUCAGAUGUGAAAGCCC
RNAcentral lists this ribosomal RNA (281 nucleotides) under uncultured bacterium. RNAcentral describes it as "partial 16S ribosomal RNA". It matches the Rfam family "Bacterial small subunit ribosomal RNA", at positions 335 to 603 of the family's 1533-position model. The record is from RNAcentral.